This 401-nucleotide long non-coding RNA is filed under the name Struthio camelus australis. RNAcentral describes it as "lncRNA (ENSSCUG00000008893.1)". The record is from RNAcentral. Lineage: Eukaryota; Metazoa; Chordata; Aves; Struthioniformes; Struthionidae.
GAGCAGUGGAUAAUGCAGUGGUGAUGUGCUUCAGAACCUGACAUUCUGCCAAAGGCCAGGAGCGUGGAAGGAGCAGGGAAUACUUGUCGCAACAGAUCUGCAUCUUCCGAGGCUUUUAUUAUCAACCUUAAGUAAGCAAAAAAAGUUCAUGAGGCAUUCCAGCAGAUGCAACAGAUGGGCUUUCUUGCUUUUGCUUGCACUUCUGGGGUCAAAGCUUAGAACGAUAUGAUGUCAUUGGGAUUACACCAUCGGAUAUUCGGAUAACUUGGGCCUUUGGCUAUAAAUGACCUCUACCUCUUUGAGAUUAUUGGUACCACACUGAGAAGUUGGUGAUAGUUUGGUAAGUAAUGCCAUUGCUUCCGUAAGAUAUUUCCAUGAAGACAACAAUUCCCAGGGCUGUG